UUAGUUCUUUAAUUGUGAUCUGGAAUGAAUGGCUUGACGAGACACGAGCUGUCUUAGGUUGUGAAUGUUUUAUUGAAUUUGGUUUUUGAGUUAAAAUUCUUAGAUGUUUUUAUGGGACGAGAAGACCCUAUAGAGUUUAACAUUUGGUCUAUUUUCCUUAUUGUUUGUUUUGUUUAAUUAAGUGGGCUUAUAUGUUUUGUUGGGGCGAUGAGAGGGAUAUAGUUUAACCCCUCUUUAUUUUGGUUAUAUUAAUUUAUAG
RNAcentral lists this ribosomal RNA (259 nucleotides) under Heterotermes cardini. Its description in RNAcentral is "partial 16S ribosomal RNA". The record is from RNAcentral. Lineage: Eukaryota; Metazoa; Arthropoda; Insecta; Blattodea; Rhinotermitidae.